GACUUUCCUCUACGAUAUAUUUUAUCAUUAGAUCAUAGUUUAUUUCGCAAUUUUGCCUAAUUUACUUUUCAACUUGACAAAUAUCACCAAAUCAUUUCUACCGAGCCAAUAAAUGAAGAAAUGAUAUAAUCUAGCGCACCUACAAAUUUAUCUGUUAGGUACAUACUCACGCAAAUCCUACGGUCUUACCAUCGAUAAUCGCUGCAGACAGGAUUUUCGGAGCUUAUCUCGAGCGAACUAAUUUCCGAUUCGCGCGUCGCAUAUUAUACAAUGUAUCGCAUAUUUAUUAUAUAAGCGUGCGGCGUGGCAUUUACCGACUUCUCACUUUCCCGUCCAUCCCGACGUACGCGAGAUCCCUCCUUCUUCGGCGGGCAACACUGUUGCAGUCGGUGCAAGGCGCGCGCGGCGCGCACGCACGUCGAGAAAAUAAAACACCGCCACUGCCCCGGGAGCGCAUUUCACGAUACGCCGCUCUGCCCGAGAAAGGGAUCGACCACACGGCGGGUUGGACAAAGAUGAAGAACCCGGGUUCGGUGGGAACCCAAGAAGUUGCUGCCGGUCCCGCUGCCGUUGCCGCUCCUAGCGAUGGGAACCAAUCGCGCUCGACCACUCGACUCCUAGGUUUUUUUUAACUGCAAGUUUGAAACGGCAGGAUGCCCAAAAAAUGCCUAGUAAUGCCCAGUAAUGCCGCAAAUCUGUACACCACAAUGCCCUCAGCGGUUUACCCCUCGACUUUCAUUGUUUCUUCAAGGAAACUGUCAAGGAUCCGCGCCGAAGUGCCCGAGACACUCUUCAGUAGCUUCGAUAAGAAGACGAUAACAAUAAUUGUUGAAAUGUCAGUUUAAUAUUUUCGUAUUAGCCAAUGUAUUAAUUUAAUACAUUUAACGUGUUAACAAGUA
Vollenhovia emeryi is the source of this 899-nucleotide long non-coding RNA. RefSeq lists it as uncharacterized. Lineage: Eukaryota; Metazoa; Arthropoda; Insecta; Hymenoptera; Formicidae. The record is from RefSeq and is a predicted model, not a curated record. The transcript has 2 exons.